This 400-nucleotide ribosomal RNA is filed under the name uncultured bacterium. RNAcentral describes it as "bacterial SSU rRNA". It matches the Rfam family "Bacterial small subunit ribosomal RNA", at positions 30 to 429 of the family's 1533-position model. The record is from RNAcentral.
AUUGAACGCUGGCGGCAUGCUUUACACAUGCAAGUCGAACGGCAGCACGGGGGCAACCCUGGUGGCGAGUGGCGAACGGGUGAGUAAUAUAUCGGAACGUACCCGGAAAUGGGGGAUAACGUAGCGAAAGUUACGCUAAUACCGCAUAUGCCCUAAGGGGGAAGCGGGGGAUUCGCAAGAACCUCGCGUUUUCGGAGCGGCCGAUAUCGGAUUAGCUAGUAGGUGAGGUAAAGGCUCACCAAGGCGACGAUCCGUAGCGGGUCUGAGAGGAUGAUCCGCCACACUGGGACUGAGACACGGCCCAGACUCCUACGGAGGCAGCAGUGGGGAAUUUUGGGACAAUGGGCGCAAGCCUGAUCCAGCCAUGCCGCGUGAGUGAAGAAGGCCUUCGGGUUGUAAA